This 91-nucleotide transfer RNA is filed under the name Micropruina sp. RNAcentral describes it as "tRNA-OTHER". Lineage: Bacteria; Bacillati; Actinomycetota; Actinomycetes; Propionibacteriales; Nocardioidaceae. The record is from RNAcentral.
GCUGCGAGUGCGCCGGAACUAUACGACAUCCCUAGCGAGAGGCCGAUUCCUUCGCGGUCCGCGGGAGGUUCAACUCCUCUCUCGCGCACCA